GACGAACGCUGGCGGCGUGCUUAACACAUGCAAGUCGAACGGAAAGGCCCUGCUUUUGUGGGGUGCUCGAGUGGCGAACGGGUGAGUAACACGUGAGUAACCUGCCCUUGACUUUGGGAUAACUUCAGGAAACUGGGGCUAAUACCGGAUAGGAGCUCCUGCUGCAUGGUGGGGGUUGGAAAGUUUCGGCGGUUGGGGAUGGACUCGCGGCUUAUCAGCUUGUUGGUGGGGUAGUGGCUUACCAAGGCCUUGACGGGUAGCCGGCCUGAGAGGGUGACCGGCCACAUUGGGACUGAGAUACGGCCCAGACUCCUACGGGAGGCAGCAGUGGGGAAUAUUGCACAAUGGGCGGAAGCCUGAUGCAGCAACGCCGCGUGCGGGAUGACGGCCUUCGGGUUGUAAACCGCUUUCGCCUGUGACGAAGCGUGAGUGACGGUAAUGGGUAAAGAAGCAUCGGCUAACUACGUG
This 468-nucleotide ribosomal RNA is filed under the name uncultured bacterium. Its description in RNAcentral is "partial 16S ribosomal RNA". It matches the Rfam family "Bacterial small subunit ribosomal RNA", at positions 28 to 507 of the family's 1533-position model. The record is from RNAcentral.